AUCAUGGCUCAGGACGAACGCUGGCGGCAUGCCUAACACAUGCAAGUCGAACGGACAGAACAGGGAAGCUUUUCGGAGUGGAACUGGAAAGUUAGUGGCGGAUGGGUGAGUAACGCGUGGACAACCUACCUUGUAAAGGGGAAUAACCUCGAGAAAUCGAAGCUAAUACCCCAUAAUAACCUUGAAUCGCAUGAAUUAAGGAGGAAAGGCGGCCUUAGCGCUGUCGAUACAAGAUGGGUCCGCGUCUGAUUAG
This 253-nucleotide ribosomal RNA is filed under the name uncultured bacterium. RNAcentral's name for it is "partial 16S ribosomal RNA". It matches the Rfam family "Bacterial small subunit ribosomal RNA", at positions 16 to 244 of the family's 1533-position model. The record is from RNAcentral.